GACGAACGCUGGCGGCGUGCCUAACACAUGCAAGUCGAGCGGUAAGGCCCUUUCGGGGGUACACGAGCGGCGAACGGGUGAGUAACACGUGGGUGACCUGCCCUCAGCUCUGGGAUAAGCCUGGGAAACCGGGUCUAAUACUGGAUAUGACUCCAUGACGCAUGUUGUGGGGUGGAAAGCCUUGUGCGGCUGAGGAUGGGCCCGCGGCCUAUCAGCUUGUUGGUGGGGUGAUGGCCUACCAAGGCGACGACGGGUAGCCGGCCUGAGAGGGCGACCGGCCACACUGGGACUGAGACACGGCCCAGACUCCUACGGGAGGCAGCAGUGGGGAAUCUUGCGCAAUGGGCGAAAGCCUGACGCAGCGACGCCGCGUGAGGGAUGACGGCCU
Molecule: ribosomal RNA, 388 nt
Filed under: uncultured bacterium
Lineage: Bacteria
Description: bacterial SSU rRNA
Rfam family: Bacterial small subunit ribosomal RNA
Source: RNAcentral